UGCUUGAUUGCUUUUAAUGGGGGGGAUUUUGCCAAUUAUUCACAAUCCUAAUGAGACAAGAAGAUGUUUUUUUAAUUUGCAAUCUAACGAGUAAAUAAAUGCAUGAGUCAGCUAACAAUUGAGGUAAUGGGAUUUGCUCUUUUACACCUAUAAAGCGCUCUAAAAACAUCCCAAAAACUCCAUACGCAUUUUAUAUAGAUGUUAUAUAGGCUUCACAUCAUUCACUUUUACCUUCAACAACAACACAUCUACUAAUCAUGGCUGACUUCAUGAGCGCCAACGAGGAGUGUUUUGGGACACAAGAUGAUCCAGAACUAGGGGUGUAACGUGAGCACCCAGCAUUGCCCCGCCCACACAACCAUCUGAUUGGUUACAUACAAAGCCAAUCAGCAGUGCGUAUUCAGAGCGAUGUAACAGCCAAUCAGCAGUGCGUAUUCAGAGCGAUGUAACAGCCAAUCAGCAGGGCGUAUUCAGAGCAUAGAGUCAGUGCUCCGGUGUCGAGAUGAGCAGAUAUGUGUUUAGCAGGUGAGCAGCUGACAUCGUACACUCCCCAAAUUAUAAAAAACACUUCCCAGUCACAACUAUUACAAACAUCACUAUUAGCCCGUUGACCUUCUAGAAACUUCAACUGCAGCUCAGCUCUCUCAUAGUUCUGGGUUGAGGUCAGGCUAAUUAGCUUUCAGCGUUACGUUAGCUCAUUUUUCUAUGUGUGUGUGUGCGUAUGUGUGUGUGUGUAUAGUAAAAGUCAACUACAGGCUUCCCAAAUGCUGUAAUAAAUUAAGCAUGAUGAGUUGACUUGUAACUGUUUAUAAUGUUGCACUUUUUAUAUGUAGAAGAAAGGUUUUGUCAUUUUAUUUAAUCAAAGCAACAAUUUGAGGCAGUUUAAUGUGGAUUAACGUGGGUAGAAUUAUUAUAGUGUUCCCAAUGUUAAAAGGAUAAAGCCAUUGUUUACAAAUUUGGUAAAUAAAUAACCAAAAAAUGUCUAUUUUGUUGUUUUCUUACUGAACCGAAAACAAACCGAACCGUGAUCUGUAAACCGAGGUACGUACGGAACCAAAAUUUUUGUGUACCGUUACACCCCUAUCCAGAACCUUAUCUUUUUGAGCCUGAACAUGAGGAGGAUGAGCUACAAGUUUUAGAACCUGAGUGAUGAGCAGAUCCAGCAAGUAGCAGUAUUGUUAAACAAGGAUUACGCACUACGAACAUAAACAAAAUCACUUACUGUACAAUGUCUACUCUGAUUGAGAUGCUGACUGAUGGGAUAUGCAUACGUUUCCGAUGAUAUUAAAAAUGAAUCAUAAUCCAUAAUAAAACCUUUUUUUUUUUUUAAGUUGGUGCAAACAAGCGUAUUUCCGUGUCUGUCUCCUGGUCUAAGUUGAAUGUCAAAAUUGACCAACUUCUCAGUUUAUGGCAACAUCCUUCCACUAUACAAGUGAGAGGCAUGAUUUAUAAAUUAAAUGAACUUUUACCAACUCAAAAGCGAUGCUUUCAGCUCUGCAUGUUAAGAGCAGGAUAGUUGACUAUGAUCACAAUGCCCCUAAAAGUAGCUCAUUGACUUUAGCGCUUAUAAAGAUAUCGCUGACACUUGUAGUAUUGAUGGUGGUUUUUAGAGGGCUUCAACAGACUAACCCCAUAUCUGCAUUGUUAGCCACCUCGUACUUGCUGUAUAUUACAAUUUAGAAUGCAUAAAAAAAGAAAGACAUACGUGUUCUUGUUUUACAUAGGGAUUGUGAAUGAUGAGCAAAAUUCCAAAAAAGUGCAGAUACCCUUUUAAUAUACAGAAAACCCCCAGAAGUCUACUUUUUUGACACUUCCUCACA
This is a long non-coding RNA of Nerophis ophidion (straightnose pipefish), 1820 nucleotides long. RefSeq lists it as uncharacterized. Lineage: Eukaryota; Metazoa; Chordata; Actinopteri; Syngnathiformes; Syngnathidae. The transcript is spliced from 3 exons. The record is from RefSeq and is a predicted model, not a curated record.